GACAGUUUGGUCCCUAUCUGCAGUGGGCGUUGGAAGUUUGACGGGGGCUGCUCCUAGUACGAGAGGACCGGAGUGGACGAACCUCUGGUGUACCGGUUGUGACGCCAGUCGCAUCGCCGGGUAGCUAAGUUCGGAAGAGAUAAACGCUGAAAGCAUCUAAGCGUGAAACUCGCCUGAAGAUGAGACUUCCCUAGGGAUUUAAUCCCUCUGAAGAGACGUUCGAGACCAGGACGUUGAUAGGUCGGGUGUGGAAGAGUGGUAACACUUGGAGCUAACCGAUACUAAUUGCUCGUGAGGCUUGACUCUAU
RNAcentral lists this ribosomal RNA (308 nucleotides) under Snodgrassella alvi. Its description in RNAcentral is "bacterial LSU rRNA". It matches the Rfam family "Bacterial large subunit ribosomal RNA", at positions 2625 to 2925 of the family's 2925-position model. Lineage: Bacteria; Pseudomonadati; Pseudomonadota; Betaproteobacteria; Neisseriales; Neisseriaceae. The record is from RNAcentral.